AGGGUUCGAUUAUGGCUCAGAACGUACGCUGGCGGCACGCCUAAUACAUGCAAGUCGAACGAAGUAGCAAUACUUAGUGGCGAACGGGUGAGUAUAAUGUGGGUAUCUGCCUUUUGGUGAGGAAUAACACGGGGAAACUUGUGCUAAUACCUCAUAAGCCUUCACAGGGAAAGUUUUAACGCCAAAAGAUGAGCCCGCACUUGAUUAGCUAGUUGGUAAGGUAAAAGCUUACCAAGGCUACGAUCAAUAGCUGAUCUGAGAGGAUGAUCAGCCACAUUGGGACUGAGACACGGCCCAAACUCCUACGGGAGGCAGCAGUAGGGAAUCUUGCACAAUGGGGGAAACCCUGAUGCAGCGAUGCCGCGUGAGUGAAGAAGGCCUUUGGGUUGUAAAGCUCUUUCGUCGGGGAAGAAAAUGACUGUACCCGAAUAAGAAGGUCCGGCUAACUUCGUGCCAGCAGCCGCGGUAAUU
Molecule: ribosomal RNA, 471 nt
Filed under: uncultured bacterium
Lineage: Bacteria
Description: bacterial SSU rRNA
Rfam family: Bacterial small subunit ribosomal RNA
Source: RNAcentral